This 497-nucleotide ribosomal RNA is filed under the name uncultured bacterium. RNAcentral's name for it is "partial 16S ribosomal RNA". It matches the Rfam family "Bacterial small subunit ribosomal RNA", at positions 28 to 507 of the family's 1533-position model. The record is from RNAcentral.
GAUGAACGCUGGCGGCGUGCCUAAUACAUGCAAGUCGAGCGAACAGACGAGGAGCUUGCUCCUCUGACGUUAGCGGCGGACGGGUGAGUAACAUGUGGAUAACAUACCUAUAAGACUGGGAUAACUUCGGGAAACCGGAGCUAAUACCGGAUAAUAUAUUGAACCGCAUGGUUCAAUAGUGAAAGACGGUUUUGCUGUCACUUAUAGAUGGAUCCGCGCCGCAUUAGCUAGUUGGUAAGGUAACGGCUUACCAAGGCAACGAUGCGUAGCCGACCUGAGAGGGUGAUCGGCCACACUGGAACUGAGACACGGUCCAGACUCCUACGGGAGGCAGCAGUAGGGAAUCUUCCGCAAUGGGCGAAAGCCUGACGGAGCAACGCCGCGUGAGUGAUGAAGGUCUUCGGAUCGUAAAACUCUGUUAUUAGGGAAGAACAAAUGUGUAAGUAACUAUGCACGUCUUGACGGUACCUAAUCAGAAAGCCACGGCUAACUACGUG